This 244-nucleotide long non-coding RNA is filed under the name Elaeis guineensis (African oil palm). RNAcentral's name for it is "long non-coding RNA (EGUI_LNC039076)". Lineage: Eukaryota; Viridiplantae; Streptophyta; Magnoliopsida; Arecales; Arecaceae. The record is from RNAcentral.
AUUCUCACACUGACUUCACCAAGUCAUGAAAAGGACUAGUGACUUGCAAAUCCAACCGACAUUUCGUAAAUCCUCCCACUAACUUCACCAAGUGAUUAGAAGGACUAGAGACAAGUUGGUCCAACUGAUAAGUCGAUUCAAGGCAUCUAAAUCAGUCAUAUUGAUUAACCUUAAUGGUAUGGGCUAACUCAAAUCACUUAGCAAUCUAAUCACAAUCUAAUUCACCAAAUUAGUCAGGUAAGUG